This 301-nucleotide ribosomal RNA is filed under the name uncultured bacterium. RNAcentral's name for it is "partial 16S ribosomal RNA". It matches the Rfam family "Bacterial small subunit ribosomal RNA", at positions 509 to 807 of the family's 1533-position model. The record is from RNAcentral.
CAGCAGCCGCGGUAAGACAGAGGAUGCAAGCGUUAUCCGGAAUGAUUGGGCGUAAAGCGUCUGUAGGUGGCUUUUCAAGUCCGCCAUCAAAUCCCAAGGCUCAACCCUGGACAGGUGGUGGAAAAUACCAAGCUGGAGUACGGUAGGGGCAGAGGGAAUUUCCGGUGGAGCGGUGAAAUGCGUUGAGAUUGGAAAGAACACCAACGGUGAAAGCACUCUGCUGGGCCGACACUGACACUGAGAGACGAAAGCUAGGGGAGCAAAUGGGAUUAGAUACCCCGGUAGUCCCUGUCUCUUAUAC